GCCCGGCUGGUUUAUCUGGUAGGGCAUGAGACUCUUGAUCUUGGGAUCAUGAGUUUGAGCCCCAUGUUGGGUG
RNAcentral lists this transfer RNA (73 nucleotides) under Felis catus (domestic cat). It matches the Rfam family "tRNA". Rfam says of the family: Transfer RNA (tRNA) molecules are approximately 80 nucleotides in length. Their secondary structure includes four short double-helical elements and three loops (D, anti-codon, and T loops). Further hydrogen bonds mediate the characteristic L-shaped molecular structure. tRNAs have two regions of fundamental functional importance: the anti-codon, which is responsible for specific mRNA codon recognition, and the 3' end, to which the tRNAs corresponding amino acid is attached (by aminoacyl-tRNA synthetases). tRNAs cope with the degeneracy of the genetic code in two manners: having more than one tRNA (with a specific anti-codon) for a particular amino acid; and 'wobble' base-pairing, i.e. permitting non-standard base-pairing at the 3rd anti-codon position. The record is from Rfam by way of RNAcentral. RNAcentral also lists the same sequence under 3 other names. Lineage: Eukaryota; Metazoa; Chordata; Mammalia; Carnivora; Felidae.